This 395-nucleotide unclassified non-coding RNA is filed under the name soil metagenome. RNAcentral's name for it is "partial contains 5.8S ribosomal RNA, internal transcribed spacer 2, and large subunit ribosomal RNA". The stretch from base 1 to 122 matches the Rfam family "5.8S ribosomal RNA", at positions 35 to 154 of the family's 154-position model. The record is from RNAcentral.
GAUGAAGAACGUAGCGAAAUGCGAUACUUGGUGUGAAUUGCAGAAUCCCGUGAACCAUCGAGUCUUUGAACGCAAGUUGCGCCCGAAGCCAUCAGGUUGAGGGCACGUCUGCCUGGGCGUCACAUAUCGUUGCCCAAUGCCUAUUGCAGUGCAAUAGGAAUUUCUAGGGCGAAUGAUGGCUUCCCGUGAGCGUUGUUGCCUCGCGGUUGGUUGAAAAUCGAGUCCUUGGUAGAGUGUGCCAUGGUAGAUGGUGGUCGAGUUAGAACGAUACCGAUCAUGUGCAUGCUCCCCAAAAUAUGGCCUCUAUGACCCACACGCGUCUUUUGACGCUCAUGACGAGACCUCAGGUCAGGCGGGGCUACCCGCUGAAUUUAAGCAUAUCAAUAAGCGGAGGA